UGAUUUUCUUUUUGUAGAUGGAUAACAUGGAGUGCUUUUUCAAGGAGAAAAUGGGUGUCAUUGCUGAACUUCGAAGUUCUGGAGUACCUAUGGAAUGUGCCUAGCCAUUGCAUAGCAUGGAAGUAGGGCUUGGUUGCAGAAAUAUGUGCUUUGACUAUAGAAAUAGCAUGGAACCAGAGCCAGGAAGGUGCAGAAGAACAGAUGGAAAGAAAUGGUGAUUCUCUAAGGAUGUGGUGUCGGAUCAAAAGUACUGUGAGCGCCACAUGCAUAGAGGUCGUCAACGUUCAAGAAAGCCUGUGGAAGGCAAUGCCACUGCCAACAACAACACCACCACCACCACCAAAUACACCAUCGAUUCCAACACCAAUCUCUCCAUUUCAAUCUUCUUUAAUUACGGAGAGAAUAUUUUGAAAUGACAGAAACUGAUGAAAUUUCCCAGUAUUUAUAGCGAAGAGUUCUACCUCGAAUUUCAGUAGGCACUUGUUAUUGGGGUUUUAUAAGUAGGGACUGCAGCAGCUGGAUCUCGUGUCACAUUUCAAUGAUCCAAACCGUUUAUAUGAUGGGCCUCAAAGCAGAUGGGGGUUAAGUAAAAUAACUCUCACAUUUGGAUAUUUUCUUUGCUACUUCUUUUUCUGUCUU
Long non-coding RNA from Magnolia sinica, 639 nucleotides. RefSeq lists it as uncharacterized. The transcript is spliced from 3 exons. The record is from RefSeq and is a predicted model, not a curated record. NCBI's taxonomy places the organism in Eukaryota, Viridiplantae, Streptophyta, Magnoliopsida, Magnoliales, Magnoliaceae.